RNAcentral lists this ribosomal RNA (656 nucleotides) under uncultured bacterium. RNAcentral describes it as "bacterial SSU rRNA". It matches the Rfam family "Bacterial small subunit ribosomal RNA", at positions 153 to 788 of the family's 1533-position model. The record is from RNAcentral.
GAAACUGUAGCUAAUACCGGAUACGUUCAUGUGAUUGCGAUUAUGUGAAGAAAGAUGGCCUCUGACAUAAGCUAUCGUACAGGGAGGAGCUUGCGUACCAUUAGCUAGUUGGCAGGGUAAAGGCCUACCAAGGCGACGAUGGUUAGCGGGUCUGAGAGGAUGAUCCGCCACACUGGAACUGAAACACGGACCAGACUCCUACGGGAGGCAGCAGUGAGGAAUAUUGCGCAAUGGGGGCAACCCUGACGCAGCGACGCCGCGUGGAUGAUGAAGGCCUUCGGGUCGUAAAAUCCUGUCGGAUGGAAAGAAGUGUGAUGUGGUUAAUACCCAUGUCAUUUGACGGUACCAUCAGAGGAAGCACCGGCUAACUCCGUGCCAGCAGCCGCGGUAAUACGGAGGGUGCAAGCGUUGUUCGGAAUUACUGGGCGUAAAGCGCGCGUAGGCGGUUUGUUAAGUCAGAUGUGAAAGCCCCGGGCUUAACCUGGGACGUGCAUUUGAAACUGUCAGACUUGAGUAUUGGAGGGGGUGGUGGAAUUCCCGGUGUAGAGGUGAAAUUCGUAGAUAUCGGGAGGAAUACCGGUGGCGAUGGCGACCACCUGGCCAAAUACUGACGCUGAGGCGCGAAGGCGUGGGGAGCAAACAGGAUUAGAUACCCU